ACAACCUUGCGUCGCUGCUCCUCCCUUCCCCUCCUCCCCUCCCGUGCGCUCCCUCCCAUCCAACCCGCCUCCGCUCGCCGCGUGCGCUCCUGCAAGCCGUCGAUGACCUCCUCUGUUGGUCAGCUGUGCUCAGCGCCUCCUUUCUCUCCCCCUCUCCUCACUAACCGCUCUCCCUCUUUCUGUUCCCGCGCAGGACGCCAUGGCCAUGGACCAAAGCUCCGCCGAACCUUCCAUCGCGACUGCCAACCUUCCUCCCGACCCGAUCACUGACACGGCUGCUGCGGUCCGGGCUGGCCGCCGUCUUGUUUUGCGGGUUAGUGGCCACGUUUUCCUGCUAGACAGUGGCCGCCACUUCCUGCUAGAUUAGCGGACAUGGAGAAGGAGGAAGAAGCUGCAGUAAUCAUAAGCGUGGUGAACGAGGCAGAGGAUACAGGAUGAUGGGUAUGAAUCACGAGAUAAACUUCAACUGGAAAAAAAAAGGAUUCUAAGAGCAAAUCUUCCCAACAAACAGCAGAACAGAGGCCCCCUUUUCAAAUGUCUGAAGAUAGUUAUCUCAUAACUGACAGUCAGAGGGAUAAAUUCAGCUCCAUAACUUGCAUGUGAUAUAUACUCGAAGGCAUGAAGACGGUUAUUUGAAUAAUACUCCAGGAAACUUAAGACAUGAUGGUUCCGUUUUGGACGAAAAAGGAAAGUAGCACCAAUGCUUAGGUGAUUAACUGCAGAUCAAACAAUUUUUAUCCCCUGUUUGGGCAAUAUGGAAGUACACAUGGUUAUUGUUAAUCAUUAAAUCCCCAGAGUUGCAGAGGAGUUCUACACUAUUUCAGCAGUCCAUUUAGAGCAUGUCAAAUGGAGCAUCUUAUUUAGGGGUAAAAUCAACUUCCCUCUGAAGUCUACUGCUGGUCACACUCGUUUAUAUGGUGGUCUGACCUGGUAACACUCUUUCAUACAUAUUUUCUCUUGGGUAAUUUGCUUCACCUAAGCUUCAGUAGCACUUUCUAUCAUGUAUUGUGAAUUUGUGAUUCACCUUUAAUGUUAGUCUUUUGUGCAUGGCUCCUUGAGUUCAUAUCUUCUAUUGGCGUAUGAAAACUAUCAUUUUUGGUCAGAUGAUAUAACUCUAUUCAUGCUAUCAAUUUAUCUUUCUCACUAUAUGGUAGUCUGACUCUGACCUGACCUGUUUGUGUCAUGGGAAAAGGGAAUUUUCAUUCUUUUUCACUUUUCUCUUGUUUUUUAAAUAUAUUAUUUUUAGUUGUAUAUUAUAGAGGGAUUGGGCAUGGAGGUUUCAGAUCCACAUGCAAGCGUUUGUGUAUAUACUGUACCUCUGUAUAUCUUUCCAAAUUCCAUCUUGCAUUACCAUACAUUUUUAAAAGAAUGGUUGUUUUGUGAGCCAUUCGUGUACUUAUGUUGUGUUGCCACUGACCAUGAGUAUAUAACAAUUUGUUGGACAAAAGUAUUCUUGUGGUUUGUGCCAAGGUUGGGCACCAUCUUAAAAUAUAAAAUGAUAACGUUGCCACACAUUUUUAUUUUAAGGGCCAACAAGAAAUGAUUUCUUCCGGCAGCAUAACAAAGAACCAUUGGGUGGAUGCAACACCCGAAUGCCUUUUUGACUAAAUCCUUUCAAUGAAUUAACUAAUUACAGUGGCAGAGCUAGAUAGGGAUAGCUUGAGAGGCGCAAAGGGCAAAUACAUCAAUUCCUGAGCGGUCCAAAGCCUAUAAUAUGUUGAAUUAAGCACCCCAAGAGAAUUUUUAUUCACAAAUUUUGUCAAGGUUGGGGGUUUAAUAUUCUUUACAAAAGAAAAUGGUUUGGGGUGAAGAGAUGAAGGCCUGAAGCCAAUGUUUCUAAUCAGGAAGAUGAGCCGCACAACUCCUUUGAAACAAGGCCAAGGCUAUGUGCCAAAAUUAAAGAUCGCAAAUAUGUUUACUUUGGUCCAAUAUCCUAUAGCAGCGUAUUGCUUCAUGCAUGCACUUUUUAUCAUUCAUUUUUAUUAUUCAAAUCUCUAUAUGGUCGUCAUAGAUGCUUCUAUUACAUGGAUUCAUUAUCAUUUUUCAUGUGUUGUUGUAAAUAGAACUCACUCAUAUAU
Long non-coding RNA from Triticum aestivum (bread wheat), 2078 nucleotides. RefSeq lists it as uncharacterized. NCBI's taxonomy places the organism in Eukaryota, Viridiplantae, Streptophyta, Magnoliopsida, Poales, Poaceae. The record is from RefSeq and is a predicted model, not a curated record. The transcript is spliced from 6 exons.